AGCUACAUCCGUCACCUGACACGGCCCUACCAGGAACAGCCGCGCUCCCGCGGAUUCUGGUGCUGCUCGCGUCCCCGCUCCCCUAUUCCCCUUAUUUUAUUCCUGGCUCCCCUCGUCGAAAGUCUUCCAUUCUUCAAACUAGAUUAUUUAAAAAUGAAAAAGGAAGAAAGGAAAGCGAGGUCAUCUCAUUGCUCUAUCCGCCAAUCAGGAGGCUGAAUGUCAGUUUUGAACUAAAAGCCGCUCCGCUCCUCUUCUAGAUUUGGAAAACAAGCGAAAUUAAACUAAACCGCUGCACGCCUCUGAUGCGACAUCUGGACACUGCGUGGCGCUGGCGCUGCCGGAGCUGCGGGCCCGGCCUGGCGCCGGACUAGUCUCCCUUUUGAUGAGAAGAGUAAGUCUCAUUCUGAUUCAACAGCAGAGAUCAAAGAAAAGACUUCUGUUUUCUGGCCACCAGAUAUAUGUUAUCUGUGCUUAAAGAACUGAAAAACACACAUCAAAGGAGAAUUCUCUUGGAAAGAGAGGGUUCAAGCAUUAUUGUUAGGUGUGCUGGAAUCCUUUCCCGAGUCAGUACUGCUUUCUAGAACAGAACCAGGGAGAUCUAUUUGGAAUGUAUCUAACUCCAAAGAAACCAUCAGAGGUAAUAGUGGAGACGGGGUUUCACCAUGUUGGCCAGACUGGUCUUGAACUCCAGACCUCAUGAUUCGCCUGCCUCCGCCUCCCAAAGUGCUGGGAUUACAUGUGUGAGACACCACACUCAGCGGAUAGAGAGAAUUUUGACAGAUAUGACACGUUCAUAAUUUAAACAAAAGCCUACAAAGAACUCAUAAAUUAAAAGAAGAUAAUCUUUUCACAAGGUGAUGGAGGCUUUUUAUUUUGCCACAGAACCACUGGUGACGUUGCCUGUGGCCACCUUGGAGAUGACACUGGAGACAGGGUCUCACUCUGUCACCCAGGCUGGAGUGUAUUGGCAUGAUUAUAGCUCACUGUGAUCUUGAACUCCCAGGCUCAAACCUGAGCAGCUGGGACUACAGGUGCACCACCAUGCAUGGAUGAUUACGGAGUUAGGAAUUUCCUACGAAGCUGGGUGAUAAAAGCACAUUGGAGAAAAACACAGAUAGCUUCAUUCUAUACCAGGAUCCAUUAUAUUUGUCUCUACUGUAAUUUGAGGAGAAUGAUAUCUGCUUCUCUAUCUUGUUGGGUUUUACAGAUGACGUAUUGAAAGUUCAAUAAAAUCUAUAAACAAU
RNAcentral lists this antisense RNA (1244 nucleotides) under Pongo abelii (Sumatran orangutan). The stretch from base 379 to 522 matches the Rfam family "CDKN2B antisense RNA 1 convserved region 3". Lineage: Eukaryota; Metazoa; Chordata; Mammalia; Primates; Hominidae. The record is from RNAcentral.